This 253-nucleotide ribosomal RNA is filed under the name uncultured bacterium. Its description in RNAcentral is "partial 16S ribosomal RNA". It matches the Rfam family "Bacterial small subunit ribosomal RNA", at positions 524 to 776 of the family's 1533-position model. The record is from RNAcentral.
UACGUAGGGUGCAAGCGUUGUCCGGAAUUAUUGGGCGUAAAGAGCUCGUAGGCGGUCUGUCGCGUCGAAUGUGAAAAUCCGGGGCUCAACUCCGGACCUGCAUUCGAUACGGGCAGACUAGAGUUCGGUAGGGGAGACUGGAAUUCCUGGUGUAGCGGUGAAAUGCGCAGAUAUCAGGAGGAACACCGGUGGCGAAGGCGGGUCUCUGGGACGGUACUGACGCUGAGGAGCGAAAGCGUGGGGAGCGAACAGG